AACAGAUCCGAGCGUCCGCCGGUCCCCAACGUCCUCUGGAUCGGGCGACCAUGGAGGGAUGAUGUGUGGGGUGAGGUCCGGCAGUGCUCCUGCGUUGACGACGAUGGGGCGGCCCCCUCUAUCGGCGCCAUGGAUGGCCUACGCAGCCAACACAGACGCGGCCUCGAUCUGGGGUACCUCCACAGCGGCCUCGAGCGUCGCAGUGUUCCGACGAAGCAGCUCUGACUGGGUGGAUUUGGAACUGCAGUCCACAUCGCACAGAGGAGUGCCCCACUUCCUCCUCUCCAUGCAGUCCACUGUCAAAGCCAAGGGACUUGCCGUCCCGGGGGCAUCAGAGGCAGCUGGCUUCAAAGGUUGGAGGGGGUUCGGUUAUCUCGGCGGUCAGCGACGAGGGAUCCGAGGCAGCCACCGCGCCGACAGCCCCGUGCAGCUCAGUUGGCAAGCCCGUGCAGCUCGGUUGCCACGGCCGACCUCCAAAGCCUCCUCCCCAACCCCGACACUGGACGGCGCCGCCCCGCCAUCCCUUCACCGUGAUGUAGCUCCGUCGUGCGUUGUCAAGGCGAGGCUACUUCUCCACCCCCUGGACUCGAAGGAUCUGGCCUGAUGCGGUUUCGUCAAGCGCCGCCAUGGAGGAUACAAGUCUCGGGUCCUUCUUCUUCCCAGGUCGCCACUGCUCCGACGCCAUGGAAGGUCGUGAUGCAUGUCAUCCCUUCACUGUGAUACACGUCUUUCCUUCCACCGACGACAGUCGCGGCAGUGCACUCGUCCCUCUCUCUUCCAGUGGAGUUUGGAGUUUGCUAUGUGUCGUUCUUCCGGUUGAAUUUGUAGGUUUUUUCCAGUUAAUUUUUUAAAAGGAAAUCAGUUUCUUUUCCUGAGGUGUGCAGUUUACUUGUGCAUAUUUUCAUAUAAUUUUGCACUUACUCCUGAAGUGCACUCGAUGUGGUCCGCUCUAACAGUUCCCGCAGUUUAGAUGGGAGCUUGAUGAGGUUCUCAUUCAAAAUGCACUACUCGACAGCGGUUCAGCAACUCAUCCCAUGCAGCUCGGUUUGCACAAGCGUGCGGUUUGGUAUAUAGCCCUAUGCAGCUCAAUGUGGUGGCGUACAGUUUGUGCAUGUUUUUUUACUGCAAGUUGUGCAUCGUGCAGUUUGAUCUCGGCCACCACCAUCUCGUUGUUCCUGCCCUUGCGACGCGGAGGCCGCAGUCCACCCGACGUUGCGCUGCAGUCCGCUCCCAGCCCCUUAUCUACAAGUUUGUGGUGAAAAAAUUGUGGUUCACGUUGUUGUGUUGGAGAGAUCUACAAGAUACUCGUUCAAUUUUACUUUUUCAGGUUUUGCUUGGCAAAAAAUUUCAGUUCUCCCAUUCAGAUUCUUUUUUGGGCGUUCUGAUAUCCAGUGUAGUGCGUGUGAGGUACAAAAAAUGUGGUCCAUAUUAUUCAACUUGUGUGUGAUGCGAG
This 1453-nucleotide ribosomal RNA is filed under the name Triticum aestivum (bread wheat). Its description in RNAcentral is "partial small subunit ribosomal RNA". Lineage: Eukaryota; Viridiplantae; Streptophyta; Magnoliopsida; Poales; Poaceae. The record is from RNAcentral.